AAGACUAUAGACCUGCGGAGUACCUGCGGAAGGAUCAUUAGUGAACGCCCUCGCGGGCUUAUAACUAUUCCAAACCUCUGUGAACCGUGCCCUUCGGGGCUAUUUUACAAACAUGGUGUAAUGAACGUCAUAUAUCAUAACAAAACAAAACUUUCAGCAACGGAUCUCU
This 169-nucleotide unclassified non-coding RNA is filed under the name soil metagenome. RNAcentral's name for it is "partial contains 5.8S ribosomal RNA, internal transcribed spacer 2, and large subunit ribosomal RNA". The record is from RNAcentral.